UGGUAGUCCACGCCCUAAACGAUGUCUAUUUGGAGGUUGUGCCCUUGAGGCGUGGCUUCCGGAGCUAACGCGUUAAAUAGACCGCCUGGGGAGUACGGCCGCAAGGUUAAAACUCAAAUGAAUUGACGGGGGCCCGCACAAGCGGUGGAGCAUGUGGUUUAAUUCGAUGCAACGCGAAGAACCUUACCUGGUCUUGACAUCCACGGAACUUUCCAG
Molecule: ribosomal RNA, 216 nt
Filed under: Citrobacter sp. FGB1
Lineage: Bacteria; Pseudomonadati; Pseudomonadota; Gammaproteobacteria; Enterobacterales; Enterobacteriaceae
Description: partial 16S ribosomal RNA
Rfam family: Bacterial small subunit ribosomal RNA
Source: RNAcentral